CUAGACGCACACGUGGGAAAUGACUAAGGUGUUUGCCUAGGAAUGGAAGAAGCACCUUCUGAACUCAGCCUCUGGGAUGUCAGCCUGAUAUCAGAGAACUUGAUGAGAUUGUCAUUUGUAAGCUAUUCCAAGAGCCUUCCCCCCACUUUUUGGCUGAAGAGUAGAAGAAAAGAAAAAACUAAAUUAAAUGAAAAACCUACUAAAACGACCUUUGAUUUUAAGCAAUUUAGUACAUUCUGUAACCUGCUGUUCUCCCGAAAACUCAGAGGAGUCCGACCCACAGUACGGAACACAUGGCUCCCAGUGGAGAUAAGCUGUGAAGCUGAGCCAUGGGGGUCCAUGAACUGAGACUCCCUCCCAAGAUCUCAGCAAUCAGGCAUGGAUACAAUUUGCUGGAUUGGUUGCUGGGCUUUUGAUUUGUGCCUGGAUUUAUGGCUGGCUUUUAUCAGCUGCUGGGUUGGUUGCAUUGAUUUACAGUUUUAUUGAGUUUUUGUGUGGCUUGUUUUAAUUUUGACUGUUUUACUGUGUGUGUUGCUUGGAGAAUAUAUAUUUGCUUUAAUUGGGUGACUCGUAAACUGAACAAAUAAUAAUUUUACAAAAUUCCAGGAAGGAUGGCCAUGACCACUGAAGAGUGGCACCACUGCCAUGGUUGCCGAAGCAACAAGCUCAGCACUGGCAGAAGGUGGCAUUACCUGGGUCUCUAGAAGACACACCUCCAAUGCCAGGGAAGUUGGUUCUAGGGAGGUCAGCUCCUGAUGCCUGGCGGGAGAUGGGAGAGAGGUGAGGCUGCAGUAGUAGAACCUUCUUGAUAUCUAAAAGCCAACAGGGCAUUAACUAUGGAAAACUAAGUUCAACUUAUUUAACUAUGGUAAGCAAACUUAGUUUAACUAACUUAAACUAUGGCAUUUACUCCCACAGGAGGCAGUGAUGGCCACCAUCUUGGAUGACUUUAGAAGAAAUUUGGAUAAAAUUCACCGGGGCGCGGGGGGGGGGGGAGAUAAGGCUAUCAAUGGCCAUUAUCCUAUGUUCUGUCUUCACUGUUGGGAGGCAGUAAUGAUUCUGAAUACCCAUUGCUGGAAACAGCAGGAGGGCAGAACACUCUUGUGCUCAGGUCCUGCUAGUAGGUUUCUCACAGGUAUCUGGGUGGUCGUUGUGAGGACAUGACUGGGGAAGGGCUUCCUUAGAAUUCACACAGUGUGCCUAGUUGGUCAGCAUAGAAUGGAGGCGGAGCAGGGAACAGUUUAUGGAACCCCUUCCCCUCUGGAAAUGAAGCCCAGGGGGAAUACUCUGAAUUCAGGGAAGGGUACUGGUGUUCAAGGUAAUUGGCAUCCAUCUCCAUCCAUGUUCACCCUUUUCCUGCCCAUGGUUGUGGAGGGCACAAUGGUCAGGGUAUUGGUGGCAUUUAGGUCCAGGUUUUGGCACAGAAACUGCCUUGCUUGACCUCUGUUGGGAGAGAGACAGGGAAAAUACACCCCUGUUAAUUCUCCUCGACCUCUCAAUAACUUUUGAUACCAUCGACCAUAGUACCCUUCUGGAGCGACUGUCUGAGUUGCAGGUGGGUGGCAUUGCAUUGGAUGGUCAUAUCCAUAGGGUGAUGCUUGGGAUGUGCUCUUCACACCCAUGGAGCCUUCAGUGUGGGGUUCCUUUGUGUUGUAUCUCCUAUGCUGUUCAACAUCUACAUGAAACUACUGAGUGGGCUCAUCCAGAGUUUUGGAGUACGUUAUCGGCAAUAUGCUGAGGACACACAGCUCUCCUCCUUUACAUCUGCAGGUGUGGCAAUGGAUGUGCUGGACUUGCCUCAGUAAUAGAUGAUGAGAGCCAACAAACUGAAGCUCAGUCCAGAUAAGACUGAGCUACUGUGAGUGGCUGGUUCCCCAGACCAGAUGGGUGGGAGGUUUCCUGAUCUUGAUGGGGUUACACUCCCUCGGAAGAAGCAGAUGUGCAGCUUGAGGGUACUUCUGGUUCCAUUGCUAUCACUUGAGGCUCUUGGGAUCUCUGUGGCACAGAAGAUCAUCUGUGCUCCAGUAUCCUAUUGGUUUGAUUACUGCAGUGUGUUAUACAGUAUGUGGGGAACAUCUGGCCUUUGGGCUUAAUCAGGCCAGACAUGGGUCCCAAUUUGGCCUGUGAACCAUUUCCCCCAAACCAGAUCCCACCUCCUAUCCUACACCUGACAUAAUAAGUGACUUCAGAUGUCGGGCAGGUAGAGGCACAGCUGCCAAUGAGCAAUCAUGAGCCUUAACACUCCUUAGCAAGGGAGACUUGCUGUCACUUUCAAUC
This 2277-nucleotide long non-coding RNA is filed under the name Podarcis muralis (Common wall lizard). RNAcentral describes it as "lncRNA (ENSPMRG00000013265.1)". The record is from RNAcentral. Lineage: Eukaryota; Metazoa; Chordata; Lepidosauria; Squamata; Lacertidae.